RNAcentral lists this ribosomal RNA (254 nucleotides) under uncultured bacterium. Its description in RNAcentral is "partial 16S ribosomal RNA". It matches the Rfam family "Bacterial small subunit ribosomal RNA", at positions 524 to 777 of the family's 1533-position model. The record is from RNAcentral.
UACGAAGGGGGCUAGCGUUGCUCGGAAUUACUGGGCGUAAAGCGCACGUAGGCGGAUCUUUAAGUCAGGGGUGAAAUCCUGGAGCUCAACUCCAGAACUGCCUUUGAUACUGAGGACCUUGAGUCCGGGAGAGGUGAGUGGAACUGCGAGUGUAGAGGUGAAAUUCGUAGAUAUUCGCAAGAACACCAGUGGCGAAGGCGGCUCACUGGCCCGGUACUGACGCUGAGGUGCGAAAGCGUGGGGAGCAAACAGGG